AGCAGUCGCCGCGGGAAUACGUAGGGUGCAAGCGUUGUCCGGAAUUACUGGGCGUAAAGAGUUCGUAGGCGGUUUGUCGCGUCGUUUGUGAAAACCAGCAGCUCAACUGCUGGCUUGCAGGCGAUACGGGCAGACUUGAGUACUGCAGGGGAGACUGGAAUUCCUGGUGUAGCGGUGAAAUGCGCAGAUAUCAGGAGGAACACCGGUGGCGAAGGCGGGUCUCUGGGCAGUAACUGACGCUGAGGAACGAAAGCGUGGGUAGCGAACAGGAUUAGAUACCCGCGUAGUCCCUGUCUCUUAUAC
RNAcentral lists this ribosomal RNA (303 nucleotides) under uncultured bacterium. RNAcentral describes it as "partial 16S ribosomal RNA". It matches the Rfam family "Bacterial small subunit ribosomal RNA", at positions 507 to 807 of the family's 1533-position model. The record is from RNAcentral.